RNAcentral lists this ribosomal RNA (452 nucleotides) under uncultured bacterium. RNAcentral describes it as "bacterial SSU rRNA". It matches the Rfam family "Bacterial small subunit ribosomal RNA", at positions 349 to 793 of the family's 1533-position model. The record is from RNAcentral.
CAGCAGUGGGGAAUAUUGCACAAUGGGGGAAACCCUGAUGCAGCCAUGCCGCGUGUGUGAAGAAGGCCUUCGGGUUGUAAAGCACUUUCAGUAGGGAGGAAGGUAGUGUAGUUAACACCUGCAUUAUUUGACGUUACCUACAGAAGAAGCACCGGCUAACUCCGUGCCAGCAGCCGCGGUAAUACGGAGGGUGCGAGCGUUAAUCGGAAUUACUGGGCGUAAAGCGCAUGCAGGCGGCCUGUUAAGUCAGAUGUGAAAGCCCGGGGCUUAACCUCGGAAUUGCAUUUGAAACUGGCAGGCUAGAGUCUUGUAGAGGGGGGUAGGAAUUUCAGGUGUAGCGGUGAAAUGCGUAGAGAUCUGAAGGAAUACCAGUGGCGAAGCGGCCCCCUGGACAAAGACUGACGCUCAGACUGCGAAAGCGUGGGAGCAAACAGGAUUAGAUACCCUGGUAG